GUUGGGUGUGGUGGUGCACACCUGUAAUCCCAGCAACUUUGGAGACUGAAGCAAGAGGAUCAUAAGUUCAAGGCCAGCUUGAGCAAUUAGUGAGAUUCUGUCU
This 103-nucleotide small RNA is filed under the name Marmota monax (woodchuck). The record is from RNAcentral. Lineage: Eukaryota; Metazoa; Chordata; Mammalia; Rodentia; Sciuridae.